The submitters of this non-coding RNA (64 nucleotides) gave its source as unclassified sequences. The record is from Rfam.
AGACGUUCACCCUGCUUUUUAAGCAGGGCGCAGUUCGACUCAGGCCAUGGAACGGGGACCUGGG